RNAcentral lists this ribosomal RNA (253 nucleotides) under uncultured bacterium. RNAcentral describes it as "partial 16S ribosomal RNA". It matches the Rfam family "Bacterial small subunit ribosomal RNA", at positions 524 to 776 of the family's 1533-position model. The record is from RNAcentral.
UACGUAGGGUGCGAGCGUUAAUCGGAAUUACUGGGCGUAAAGGGCGCGUAGGCGGCCUGUUAAGUCGAACGUGAAAUCCCCGGGCUCAACCCGGGAACUGCGUCCGAUACUGGCAGGCUUGAAUCCGGGAGAGGGAUGCGGAAUUCCAGGUGUAGCGGUGAAAUGCGUAGAUAUCUGGAGGAAUACCGGUGGCGAAGGCGGCAUCCUGGACCGACAUUGACGCUGAACGGCGAAAGCUAGGGGAGCAAACGGG